UGGGGAAUAUUGGACAAUGGGCGAAAGCCUGAUCCAGCCAUGCCGCGUGUGUGAAGAAGGUCUUCGGAUUGUAAAGCACUUUAAGUUGGGAGGAAGGGCAGUAAGCGAAUACCUUGCUGUUUUGACGUUACCGACAGAAUAAGCACCGGCUAACUCUGUGCCAGCAGCCGCGGUAAUACAGAGGGUGCAAGCGUUAAUCGGAAUUACUGGGCGUAAAGCGCGCGUAGGUGGUUCGUUAAGUUGAAUGUGAAAGCCCCGGGCUCAACCUGGGAACUGCAUCCAAAACUGGCGAGCUAGAGUAGGGCAGAGGGUGGUGGAAUUUUCUGUGUAGCGGUGAAAUGCGUAGAUAUAGGAAGGAACACCAGUGGCGAAGGCGACCACCUGGGCUCAUACUGACACUGAGGUGCGAAAGCGUGGGGAGCAAACAGG
RNAcentral lists this ribosomal RNA (429 nucleotides) under Pseudomonadota bacterium. Its description in RNAcentral is "Proteobacteria bacterium partial 16S ribosomal RNA". It matches the Rfam family "Bacterial small subunit ribosomal RNA", at positions 355 to 776 of the family's 1533-position model. Lineage: Bacteria; Pseudomonadati; Pseudomonadota. The record is from RNAcentral.